AGGUCAGUAGCUCAAUUGGUAGAGUAGCGGUCUCCAAAAUCGAAGGGUGGGGGUUCAAUUCCCUCCUGGCCUG
Non-coding RNA from Gossypium hirsutum (cotton), 73 nucleotides. The record is from Rfam. Lineage: Eukaryota; Viridiplantae; Streptophyta; Magnoliopsida; Malvales; Malvaceae.